AGCGAACGCUGGCGGCAGGCCUAACACAUGCAAGUCGAACGAACCUUUCGGGGUUAGUGGCGGACGGGUGAGUAACACGUGGGAACGUGCCUUUAGGUUCGGAAUAACUCAGGGAAACUUGUGCUAAUACCGAAUGUGCCCUUCGGGGGAAAGAUUUAUCGCCUUUAGAGCGGCCCGCGUCUGAUUAGCUAGUUGGUUGAGGUAAUGGCUCACCAAGGCGACGAUCAGUAGCUGGUCUGAGAGGAUGAUCAGCCACAUUGGGACUGAGACACGGCCCAAACUCCUACGGGAGGCAGCAGUGGGGGAUCUUGCGCAAUGGGCGAAAGGCUGACGCAGCCAUGCCGCGUGAAUGAUGAAGGUCUUAGGAUUGUAAAAUUCUUUCAACGGGGACGAUAAUGACGGUACCCGGAGAAGAAGCCCCGGCUAACUUCGUG
RNAcentral lists this ribosomal RNA (434 nucleotides) under uncultured bacterium. RNAcentral describes it as "partial 16S ribosomal RNA". It matches the Rfam family "Bacterial small subunit ribosomal RNA", at positions 29 to 507 of the family's 1533-position model. The record is from RNAcentral.